GAUUAACGCUGGCGGCGUGCAUAACACAUGCAAGUCGAACGAUGAAACUUAAAUGAUUUCUUCGGGAUGAACUUAAGUGGAUUAGUGGCGGACGGGUGAGUAACGCGUGAGUAACCUGCCUUACACAGGGGGAUAGCCGUUGGAAACGACGAAUAAUACCCUAUGAAACUAUCACUUCGCAUGAAGCGAUAGUCAAAGUGUUAGCGGUGUAAGAUGGACUUGCGUCUGAUUAGCUAGUUGGUGAGAAAAAAGCCCACCAAGGCAACGAUCAGUAGCCGGCUUGAGAGAGUGUACGGCCACAUUGGGACUGAGACACGGCCCAGACUCCUACGGGAGGCAGCAGUGGGGAAUUUUGCACAAUGGGGGAAACCCUGAUGCAGCGACGCCGCGUGAUUUAGAAGGCCUUCGGGUUGUAAAAAUCUUUUGUAUAGGAAGAAAAUGACAGUACUAUACGAAUAAGGUCCGGCUAAUUACGUG
This 477-nucleotide ribosomal RNA is filed under the name uncultured bacterium. RNAcentral describes it as "partial 16S ribosomal RNA". It matches the Rfam family "Bacterial small subunit ribosomal RNA", at positions 28 to 507 of the family's 1533-position model. The record is from RNAcentral.